GACGAACCGUGCGAACGUUGUUCGGAAUCACUGGGCUUAAAGGGCGCGUAGGCGGCUGAUCAAGUCCGGGGUGAAAUCUCUCGGCUCAACCGGGAGAGGUUGUCCGAUACUUCCAGACUUGAGGGCAGUAGAGGGUGGUGGAAUUCCGGGUGUAGUGGUGAAAUGCGUAGAUAUCCGGAGGAACACCAGUGGCGAAAGCGGCCACCUGGACUGCACCUGACGCUGACACGCGAAAGCGUGGGGAGCAAACAGG
Molecule: ribosomal RNA, 253 nt
Filed under: uncultured bacterium
Lineage: Bacteria
Description: partial 16S ribosomal RNA
Rfam family: Bacterial small subunit ribosomal RNA
Source: RNAcentral